UCUCCUGUAGCUCAGUGGUAGAUCUAGAGCGUCCUACCGGUGUGCGGAAGGUCAUAGGUUCGACUCCUGUUGGGGGAA
Desmophyllum pertusum is the source of this 78-nucleotide non-coding RNA. NCBI's taxonomy places the organism in Eukaryota, Metazoa, Cnidaria, Anthozoa, Scleractinia, Caryophylliidae. The record is from the annotation of a GenBank genome assembly.